GAUGAACGCUGGCGGCGUGCCUAAUACAUGCAAGUCGAGCGAACGGACGAGGAGCUUGCUUCUCUGACGUUAGCGGCGGACGGGUGAGUAACACGUGGAUAACCUACCUAUAAGACUGGGAUAACUUCGGGAAACCGGAGCUAAUACCGGAUAAUAUUUUGAACCGCAUGGUUCAAAAGUGAAAGACGGUCUUGCUGUCACUUAUAGAUGGAUCCGCGCUGCAUUAGCUAGUUGGUAAGGUAACGGCUUACCAAGGCGACGAUGCAUAGCCGACCUGAGAGGGUGAUCGGCCACACUGGAACUGAGACACGGUCCAGACUCCUACGGGAGGCAGCAGUAGGGAAUCUUCCGCAAUGGGCGAAAGCCUGACGGAGCAACGCCGCGUGAGUGAUGAAGGUCUUCGGAUCGUAAAACUCUGUUAUUAGGGAAGAACAUAUGUGUAAGUAACUGUGCACAUCUUGACGGUACCUAAUCAGAAAGCCACGGCUAACUACGUG
RNAcentral lists this ribosomal RNA (497 nucleotides) under uncultured bacterium. RNAcentral's name for it is "partial 16S ribosomal RNA". It matches the Rfam family "Bacterial small subunit ribosomal RNA", at positions 28 to 507 of the family's 1533-position model. The record is from RNAcentral.